UUACUAAGAGUUUGAUCCUAGCUCAGGAUGAACGCUGGCGGCGUGGAUAAGGCAUGCAAGUUAAACGGUGCAGCAAUGCACAGUAGCGAACGAGGUAGUAACACGUAGGUACUUCCCCCAAAGUCAAGAAUAACCAGUCGAAAGAUUGGCUAAUACUUGAUAGUCUCUUAGGAGUAAAGAUUUAUCGCUUUGGGAAAGGCCUGCGGGAUAUCAGCUAGUUGGUAAGGUAAUGGCUUACCAAGGCUAUGACGUCUAGGGGAGCUGAGAGGCUGACCCCCACCGAUGGUACUGAGACACGGACCAUACACCUACGGGUGGCUGCAGUCGAGAAUCUUCCGCAAUGGGCGAAAGCCUGACGGAGCGACGCCGCGUGACUGAUGAAGUCCUUAGGGACGUAAAGGUCUUUUGUGAGGGAGAAAGUUUAUUGAUAGUACCUCAAGAAUAAGGGGCUCCAAACUCUGUGCCAGCAGGAGCGGUAAUACAGAGGCCCCGAGCGUUAUCCGGAAUUAUUGGGCGUAAAGGGUGUGUAGGUGGUCUUGUUAGUCUUUUGUUAAAUUCUUCGGCUUAACCGGGGACCUGCGAAGGAAACGGCAAGACUUGAGUGUGCAAGGGGUGAAUGGAACUCAUGGAGUAGGGGUGAAAUCCGUUGAUAUCAUGGGGAACACCAAAAGCGAAGGCAAUUCACUGGUGCAUUACUGACACUGAAACACGAAAGCGUGGGUAGCGAACUGGAUUAGAUACCCAGGUAGUCCACGCCCUAAACGAUCUUCUCUAGCUUUUCGGAGUAUCGACCCUCUGAGAGGCGAAGCUAACGCGUUAAGAGAAGCGCCUGGGUAGUACGACCGCAAGGUUAAAACUCAAAGGAAUAGACGGGGACUUGCACAAGCAGUGGAUUAUGUGGUUUAAUUCGAUGGUAAACGAAAAACCUUACCCGGGUUUGAAACCUAACUGAAUACUUUAGGAAACUUUAGUAGCUCGCAAGGGCAGUUAGGCAGGUGAUGCAUGGCCGUCGUCAGUUCGUGGUUUGAAUUGUUCCCUUAAGUGGGGUAACGAACGCAACCCUUGUUGCCUGUUAUAUUUGUCAGGCGAGACUGCCCCGUAUAGUGUGCCCAAGUGCGCGAGUAAUCGCGAGUUUGGACAUAAUAUACGGGGAGGAAGGCGAGGAUGACGCCAGGUCAGCAUGUCCCUCUGAUAUCCGGGGCUACACACAUAAUACAAUGGCGACUACAACGCGUUGCGACGGGGUAACCCUGAGCUAAUCGUAAGAAAAGUCGCCCCAGUUCAGAUUGGGGGCUGCAACUCGACCCCAUGAAGUUGGAAUUGCUAGUAAUCGCAGGUCAGCUAUACUGCGGUGAAUACGUUCUCAAGUCUUGUACUCACCGCCCGUCAACUCAAGGGAGUUGGGAAUACCCGAAAUAUCACGUAUGUGGUCCUAAGGUAAGCUCAAUGACAGGGAGUAAGUCGUAACAAGGCACGGGUAGCGGAAGCUGC
Molecule: ribosomal RNA, 1491 nt
Rfam family: Bacterial small subunit ribosomal RNA